This 491-nucleotide ribosomal RNA is filed under the name Bacillus amyloliquefaciens. Its description in RNAcentral is "bacterial SSU rRNA". It matches the Rfam family "Bacterial small subunit ribosomal RNA", at positions 720 to 1210 of the family's 1533-position model. Lineage: Bacteria; Bacillati; Bacillota; Bacilli; Caryophanales; Bacillaceae. The record is from RNAcentral.
AGCGACUCUCUGGUCUGUAACUGACGCUGAGGAGCGAAAGCGUGGGGAGCGAACAGGAUUAGAUACCCUGGUAGUCCACGCCGUAAACGAUGAGUGCUAAGUGUUAGGGGGUUUCCGCCCCUUAGUGCUGCAGCUAACGCAUUAAGCACUCCGCCUGGGGAGUACGGUCGCAAGACUGAAACUCAAAGGAAUUGACGGGGGCCCGCACAAGCGGUGGAGCAUGUGGUUUAAUUCGAAGCAACGCGAAGAACUCUUACCAGGUCUUGACAUCCUCUGACAAUCCUAGAGAUAGGACGUCCCCUUCGGGGGCAGAGUGACAGGUGGUGCAUGGUUGUCGUCAGCUCGUGUCGUGAGAUGUUGGGUUAAGUCCCGCAACGAGCGCAACCCUUGAUCUUAGUUGCCAGCAUUCAGUUGGGCACUCUAAGGUGACUGCCGGUGACAAACCGGAGGAAGGUGGGGAUGACGUCAAAUCAUCAUGCCCCUUAUGACCU